UAUCUUUUAGUUGUGUUUAAGCCUGGUGAUAACUAGUUGUCCAAGACAGAAUCUUAGUUCAACUUUAAAUUUACCCACAGAAUUAUUUAAUCCCCUGGAAGUUUAACUGUUAGUC
Molecule: long non-coding RNA, 115 nt
Organism: Sapajus apella (tufted capuchin)
Lineage: Eukaryota; Metazoa; Chordata; Mammalia; Primates; Cebidae
Exons: 3
Source: RefSeq, a predicted model, not a curated record